Molecule: long non-coding RNA, 510 nt
Filed under: Mytilus galloprovincialis (Mediterranean mussel)
Lineage: Eukaryota; Metazoa; Mollusca; Bivalvia; Mytilida; Mytilidae
Source: RNAcentral
GUUGCCAUUUAUACAUCAUGUACAUGUACAAUCAUUAGCUGAUCAGCUCUAUAUUUUCAUUAUUUUUAUUCUCCUUCACUGUUUUUUUUUAUAAGACUCAAUAUAUAUAUGAUCUGUAUUCCUCAUUGGGACAGUUAGGUGAAGUAGGUCCUUUUGAUUGGAUUUUUUAAAGGAUUUUGACAGCACUAAAGCAUAUACAUGUAGUUCCAAUUUUUAGUUGAUCUAAGCUCCUCAAGUGGACUGUGGCAACACAUAUUGCAUAUACAUGUACAUUGUAGAAUGUUGUUCUUAAGUUUCAGCACAUAGUUUCCGGUUUGCAAGACUACAUGAUACUGGCUUCUCAUAAAAUUCUGUCAGUACUUUGCCAAUAGUUUCCAAGUAAAGUUGAACAUUCCAAGAUCACUCCUUCCAUUUGCAUGUACAUGUACAAAUGAACUUGCAACCUGAAAUUAAAUAUCAGAGUAAUUCUGUCAGAAAAUCAACAAUUAUUGACAUUCAAAAGUAUAUAGA